RNAcentral lists this long non-coding RNA (2938 nucleotides) under Brassica napus (rape). Its description in RNAcentral is "long non-coding RNA (BNAP_LNC003261)". Lineage: Eukaryota; Viridiplantae; Streptophyta; Magnoliopsida; Brassicales; Brassicaceae. The record is from RNAcentral.
AGAUUGAUGUUAGUUCGUUUUCUACCCUUUAGAUCUUAUUUUUGCUAUUUUUCUUGUAUUUUCCAGAUUGCAAUCUUAUUGUAUAGUUAUGCUUCAGCAUUUUACGGGUUUGCUUUGCAGGGUUCCAAAGAUUCCAAGCCUGCAAAAGCCAUGAAAGCAGAUUUUGAAGGAGAUCAAAGUCUGAAAUACAUUGGGAGGAUAAUGUUUGCAUUUGUUUUGAUGUUUAUACUUGGUGGUCUCUUCACCGUAGCUCUUGAGAACCUUCCUAGACUGAUUUUACUUUUUAACAAUCCUUCCAUGUAACAGUUGACACUUUUCCAAGCACAGACAUUUUGGGAUGUUUUUGUAGUUAAGGCUGUUAUUUAUUUUCUAUCAAGGGACCCAUUUAUAGAACAUCCCGUGAAGAGCCCAUCAGUUUUGGGAAUAAUGUUUAUCUUGUUAAUUAUGGACAUGGUUGUAAAUUAAUACAGUGAUUGAUGAUUCUGAUUUGCUUAGUAAUUAACUUCUUGUGAAUUUUUUGGUAGUUAACUUCAGGGCCGGCUUAGAAACUUGACAGACCCUAGGGCGAAGUUUUAAAAUAGGCCCUCCAACAUAUUAAAACAUGCUACUUAUAAAACUGUUACUAUAACUAAAAUAAUAAACAACAAUAUCUAAGAUAAACAUCUCACAUAAAAUAAAGAUUUUGCAUCUUAUGUCUUAUAAACGUAGUCAUCAAAACAUAAAAAUCAGACUUUUUUUUUUGUUAUGCUUCUCCUUUUCUUCCUAGCUUUCUCGCAGUGUCAAUGAUUUCAUAUUUGCACAUGUUUCUUGAAUCUGAAAAGCAAAGAAAAACAGUAGUCAUCCAAAACAUAAAAAAAAUCAUAAGAAACGGUUCUUUCGAGCUUUACUCGAUGCAAAAUCAUGAAUAAUAGUUUCAAAAUCAAUAUCUUCUAACAUGUUUUUUAAUGCAUAAAAUAGCUAAACCAUUCAAUCUUUCUUGAGACAUUGAAGAUCGUAAAUAACUUUUCAAUAAUUUUAAUUUUGAAAAACUUCUUUCCGCUGAAGCUACAGUCACAGGUAUGGUCAAAAGAAUGCGAUAAGCAAUUGAAACAUUUUGAUAACAACCCACACUUUCAACAAACUCAAGAACUUCACUAGGUUCCAUAGGCACAUCAGGUAAAGUAGUUUGCAAGAUUCUCAAUUCAGAAUAAAAAUCAUUUAAAUCAACAUAUGAAGAAUUACCAUAAGAAAAAACUUUGUGAAAGUUAAUACAAUGUUCUCGUAGUUCACUUUCACCUAAUACCUUUAAUUUUUUCAAAUCAAAUAGAAAUCCAAAAACAUUUUUAAAAUUCACCAUUUGAUCAAAUCUGUUCUUGACUGAAGUUAUUGCCAUGUCCACUACAACUAGAAAGUAAUUAACUCUGAAAUCAUCUUCACCAGUUAGUAUUUCUUCACCUAACUGAGUUUCAUCAAAUUAGUUUUUCCUAAAGAUACGACGCUUACUUGGAAAGACAGGAUCAACAUCCAUAUCAUGAGCAAUAUUUUGAGCUAUACCCAAACUAGAGGCAAACCCUUCCUGUCUAAACUUCUCCAAAAACAGAACUACACCUUCUAGUUGUUUCAAAGCAUUAUCAAUGCAUACAGAUUUAACUUGUAAGUUUUUACUCACUGAAUUAAUAGCAAACAAAAUUUCAUACCAAAUGACCAUGCCAAGUAAGAAUUCAAAAUUAUCAAAUGACAAGAUUAAGCUUUCAGCAUCACUUUUUGUCAUAGCAUCAUCACAUGAUUCAUAUAAUUCCAAUAAAGCUGACCUUACUUGUGGAGCUUGAAAUCUGAUUGCUUUGACACUUUUGAUUCGACUCUCCCAACGAGUAUUGCAUAAGGAUUUCACUGUAAAAAAGGAACAUGGUCAAGUAAAAUCUUCCAUCUCUUUGUAGAACCAGAAAACAAGGCAUAUAUGCGCUGCAAAAUUCCAAAGAAUGAAAUAGCCUUAUACAUAUUGCUUCUCAGGCUGAACUGUUGCUAAUAGUUCUCUAUCUUUUGAUGCAGGAACUGAGAAAGAGGGCCCCUUUCAGACACAGUUUCCUUCUGUGUUAUCAACGGUAUGUAUCUUACCUAGUGAACAUUGCAUGUAUUAACCAAAGGACCAAGUAGUUUUAGAGAAUCUUCAACUCUCUCAACCAUAGUACCUAAUACCCCCCAUAAGUCUGUUCCGAUAUAUUCUGUUUAUAUGUAAAUUAAAAUCAAGUGUAACAAUUACAACUUGUGAGAAAGUUCGAGUUGUAAGACAGUAUAGAUUGAUAUAAGUUCGUUUUCUAGCUUUAGAUCCACCUUGCUUGCAUUCGUAUUGUCUAACCAACGAUAAUCAAAACUAAAAGCGACUUGUAAGACACUAAGAUCAGAAUAAGCUUUUCUUUCAGUAAUAAAAGCGUCUUUUAAGACAGUGUAGAUUGAUGUUAGUUCGUUUUCUACCCUUUAGAUCUUAUUUUUGCUAUUUUUCUUGUAUUUUCCAGAUUGCAAUCUUAUUGUAUAGUUAUGCUUCAGCAUUUUACGGGUUUGCUUUGCAGGGUUCCAAAGAUUCCAAGCCUGCAAAAGCCAUGAAAGCAGAUUUUGAAGGAGAUCAAAGUCUGAAAUACAUUGGGAGGAUAAUGUUUGCAUUUGUUUUGAUGUUUAUACUUGGUGGUCUCUUCACCGUAGCUCUUGAGAACCUUCCUAGACUGAUUUUACUUUUUAACAAUCCUUCCAUGUAACAGUUGACACUUUUCCAAGCACAGACAUUUUGGGAUGUUUUUGUAGUUAAGGCUGUUAUUUAUUUUCUAUCAAGGGACCCAUUUAUAGAACAUCCCGUGAAGAGCCCAUCAGUUUUGGGAAUAAUGUUUAUCUUGUUAAUUAUGGACAUGGUUGUAAAUUAAUACAGUGAUUGAUGAUUCUGAUUUGCUUAGUAAUUAACUUCUUGUGA